AACAACGCCCCUUUCAUCUCUACUAUACUUUAAUAGAAAAAGGGUGCCACGAUCGGGAGACCAUGACGAUGAACUCGAAGACGCCGAUAGCAGGGACGACCGAAUCACGAACGCCAGGUGGAAGAAUGUUGACCAGUGAGUUUCCAUGUUGACCCACAGACAACCUCAGUUUGUUCGAGCCGCGAAUGAGGUAUGAAAAUGCUUAUUACUGUGCAUGUCAGUUUUAUUAGAUGGAAUUAAUCAAUUUGGUAAAAAUGAGUAAUGGGUCUCGACAAUUUUUUGAGAGUAUCUAUGUUGCUUCCAUUGUUUUCCAUCGAUUGGGUUAGUUGUAGGUUAAUGAUUGUUGUAAAUGCAUGUUCACCUGAUUUUGAUUGAAGAUGGCUUCAGCUACAUUAUGCUGCCUUGUGAAUGAUUGAAGAUGGGUAUGAAAAUUUUUUAAUUGUUUAAGCUAUUGCCACUGAUUGUUUGGAUUCAUGCUAGUUUUUAUUAAAUUACAGAUGUAAUUAAGUGUUGGAGAUUCCUUGUGCCGCAAUAUUAAUAUUUUGAGGAUACUUGAUUUUGUUUUUUUUUCUUUUUAUCACGAUAUGUACAUGUCUUGGUUGAAAAAAUGUCAUGAUUUGCUGCAUUCUCUCACACUGGAGCAGUGAGUUUAGUGGUUUUAAUUCUUUUCUUCUCUUUGACUAUGGCUCUACUUCACUGCAUUCAGAUGUCUUUAUUUGUCCAGCGUCAAAUGAUAAAGGAACAUAGUCUCCUUUUGAUUUCAGUUUGUCUUUCUGUUUUGCAGCCAAGAGGUUCUAACUACCAUCGAGAGUGAAAGGCUCUCCAAGUCAAGGCACAUAGCUCCUGCUGCUCUUGUUACUUUCCCUGAAGAUUUUGAUAAUGGGCUGGUGAUUAUUUAGUUUGGUUUCAAAUUAUGUUCUCGACAUUGUAUUUUGAAAUAUUUGGUUGGUGAGAUAAAGUUUAUUAUUAUAUCUCUAAUAUGUGAGAUGGGAUAUUUCAAGAUGGUAUUUUGGUUACAAUGUUUUAUUUGGUAUUUACAAUGUAAUCACAGCUCUUGGCGCUAAAACGGAUAUGAC
RNAcentral lists this long non-coding RNA (1076 nucleotides) under Citrus maxima (pomelo). RNAcentral describes it as "long non-coding RNA (CMAX_LNC001483)". The record is from RNAcentral. Lineage: Eukaryota; Viridiplantae; Streptophyta; Magnoliopsida; Sapindales; Rutaceae.